Molecule: long non-coding RNA, 1399 nt
Organism: Cinclus cinclus
Lineage: Eukaryota; Metazoa; Chordata; Aves; Passeriformes; Cinclidae
Exons: 2
Source: RefSeq, a predicted model, not a curated record
ACGUAAAAUAUUUGCACGUUUCCAGGUUACACACACUCAGCUCUUCCCUUUGCAUCUCCUGCCCCGGGCCACCUGUUGCACUCAUCACAGGUAAUGCAAGGCAGGCACAGAAUGCAGCCAAGGGACCGCAUUUGUGACUGGAGACAGACAAGGCAUUGUGGCCAAGAAAUAGAUUUUCAGAUAAUGCUUAAAGGUAAUUUUUCAGCCAAGCCUGGAAUCCAGACUGGAAAUUAACCCGUGGCCUGUCCCUCCUGUUGGGUUAGUGAGGAGCCAGAAGCUGCAGCAUUAGGACACCAAAGGGCCCUUUGUCAGAGGCUCAUUGUGUCACGCUGCCCAAUGCCAUGGCAGCACAGGGUGGUGUCACUGGUUUAAAAGCACAGCACAGAACUGGGAUGCUCCCACCCUCCUCACAUGACCUUGGCAGAACCUAAACACUGAUGCUGAAGAAGCCCUGGGUUAGCCCUAUCACAGACUUACCCCCGAUCUGGUUCAUCUCUCUAUUUCUCCAAUGUCCUGUGACCUAAAGAUGGAAAUGAGUCCCCAGCUCUUUAUGGCUACACCUGUAGAGUAUCAGGCACCCAGGAACAGAUCCUGCAGCUUCCAGAACUUUCUCAGUCACCCCAGGUGGGCUCAAGGUACUUUGGUCAGUCCUGGCAAUCUGCAGGUCACAAUUUGGUAAAACAAGGGACAUCUUUGGCUGUGGCAGGUUCUGUUCCAGGAAGCCAAGCCUGGCUCCUGUGUCAGCCAUAACGAGCUGGAAAGAUACUGGGAGUCAGGACAGGGAGCCAUGGGGCAGGGAGUUUGUGUCAGUGAACAUCAGGUCAAACAUCUGAACCAUGAAGGGGCUGCCCUGGGCUGCUGCAUGCACACUGAGUUGGUCCAGGAUUGGCUGGAAGUGUUGAAACCUAUCCCUUCAAGUUCACGCCUGCCUUGGCCACUGUCCUAAUUAAACUGGCAUGCAAAUUGGGAGCUGAUAAAACACAUCCCACUGUCCAGGACAUGCACAGGCAUUUUUUUCCAUGUGUUCACAGCUUUAGUCAGAUACUACAGGAUUUCAGCUUUCUGAAGGCCUAAUCUAGAUUUGGAAUUUAAUUUCCAAACUGUGCUGCUUCUUAGUUCUGUUCACAGGGAUAUUUAGUCAUUACUGGUUCAUAACUCCAGUCCUGUGUACUCCAACUCAUCUGAGGUCUCUGUGCUGUAUUUUCAAAGGUGAUAACAUCCAAAAUGGGCAGUGUCUCCAUGUGGAGGAAGAAGUGCUGAGUGGGAAUCCAUUACCAAUACUGCAGAGCCAGGUUAAUGCUACCUGGCGGGAUGCCGCUGACAGCAACACAAUUGCUCCUGUCUCUUGCUCGCAGCACUGGCAGUUCCAGAAAAAAUGUCCUAAUUUCAGAGAAGGAAA